CAACGAUCAAAGCAAAACUAAGGAAACUUAGUGACGCAAAGCUAUAGGAGCUAAGCUUGUAAAAACAAGUAUGCUAGCCAGUUGCCGUU
RNAcentral lists this non-coding RNA (89 nucleotides) under Anaerobacillus arseniciselenatis. RNAcentral describes it as "c-di-GMP sequence". It matches the Rfam family "c-di-GMP-I riboswitch aptamer". From Rfam's summary of the family: GEMM was predicted in a large-scale screen for bacterial structured RNA regulatory elements. The record is from Rfam by way of RNAcentral. Lineage: Bacteria; Bacillati; Bacillota; Bacilli; Caryophanales; Bacillaceae.